AGGAAGCCGCUGAUGACUCACAACCAUUAACUAAUCAAGACUGGUCAGGAGUUUUAAAACUACCAGUAGGAAAGUUCCUUUCUCUUUAUUCAUUAUGGCCAUGAAGCAGGAAAGACUGUGAGAGAACUGGGUUCUCACUCAGAUAGGACUAACCAAGAAAGCCUUGUGGCUUGUGAGUAAUCCAGACAGCAGAAAAAGUCUCAGGGCCACCCACAGACGUGACUGUGCUGACGUCAAAAGCAGCAUGCCAAACACACAGCCUGUUUAACUGAAGGGCACUGAGAGACAAUUCAUCAGCUGAUAUCACACAUUAAAACUUCAGUGAGAGUUCAUACAUUGAUAUUGGACAAAGAAAGGCCCGAAGGAAAGGAUUUAUCAAAAGAAGGUGGAAGCUGAACAUCUUGCCCCACAAGAAAGAAGACCAUUGAUCUUAUUACAGGAAAAGUCAUUGUAAAAUCCACCAGAGGAAGUGUAACCAGGA
Molecule: long non-coding RNA, 481 nt
Filed under: Pogona vitticeps (central bearded dragon)
Lineage: Eukaryota; Metazoa; Chordata; Lepidosauria; Squamata; Agamidae
Description: lncRNA (ENSPVIG00000016437.1)
Source: RNAcentral